Molecule: ribosomal RNA, 119 nt
Filed under: Pteropus alecto (black flying fox)
Lineage: Eukaryota; Metazoa; Chordata; Mammalia; Chiroptera; Pteropodidae
Also listed under: 1 other name
Source: RNAcentral
GUCUACGGCCAUGCUACUCUGAACAAGCCCAAUCCCAUCUGAUCUCGGAAGCUAAGCAGGGUCGGGCCUGGUUAGUACUUGGAUGGGAGACCACCUAGGAAGACCAGGUGCUGUAGGCG